This 256-nucleotide ribosomal RNA is filed under the name uncultured bacterium. Its description in RNAcentral is "partial 16S ribosomal RNA". It matches the Rfam family "Bacterial small subunit ribosomal RNA", at positions 524 to 776 of the family's 1533-position model. The record is from RNAcentral.
UACAGGGGGGGCAAGCGUUGUUCGGAAUUACUGGGCGUAAAGGGCUCGUAGGCGGCCAACUAAGUCACACGUGAAAUCCCCAGGCUUAACCUGGGAACUGCGUGUGAUACUGGAUGGCUUGAAUCCGGGAGAGGGAUGCAGAAUUCCAGGUGUAGCGGUGAAAUGCGUAGAUAUAUGGAAGAACACCAAUAACGGCGAAGGCAGUUAACUAUUCUGUUACUGACAUUGAGGCACGAAAGCGUGGGGAGCAAAACGG